This 295-nucleotide ribosomal RNA is filed under the name uncultured bacterium. Its description in RNAcentral is "partial 16S ribosomal RNA". It matches the Rfam family "Bacterial small subunit ribosomal RNA", at positions 334 to 621 of the family's 1533-position model. The record is from RNAcentral.
UGGGCCUACGGGAGGCAGCAGUGGGGAAUAUUGCGCAAUGGACGAAAGUCUGACGCAGCGACGCCGCGUGAGGGAUGAAGGUUUUCGGAUCGUAAACCUCUGUCAGGAGGGAAGAAAGCGCAUGGCGCCAAUCAGCCAUGCGUUGACGGUACCUCCAAAGGAAGCGCCGGCUAACUCCGUGCCAGCAGCCGCGGUAAUAAGGAGGGCACGAGCGUUAAUCGGAAUUACUGGGCGUAAAGCGCGCGUAGGCUGUUGUGUAAGUUGGGGGUGAAAUCCGAGGGCCAAACCGUGGAAC